Long non-coding RNA from Diospyros lotus (date-plum), 3172 nucleotides. RefSeq lists it as uncharacterized. The record is from RefSeq and is a predicted model, not a curated record. The transcript is spliced from 4 exons. NCBI's taxonomy places the organism in Eukaryota, Viridiplantae, Streptophyta, Magnoliopsida, Ericales, Ebenaceae.
AAAUUUGCAGUGGGGAUUUACCAAAUGAAUCUCACAUCUGCACAGAGAACAAGAAAAGGGAGGUGAAAGGAAGGAACUAACACAGAUUUCCAGUGGGGAUUUACAAGAUCGAGUCUCUUUUUUUUUUUUUGUAAGGGGAUUUACAAGAUCGAGGACAAAUAGCAGUUGCAGAUCAAAUUAAUGGUCACAGAAAGCAACGGCCUUGAGACGGAUCAAGAUUGCUUAAACGCCACUAUGCAUGCACCCUACAUUCGCCCAUUUUCAUAAUAUCUGAAACCCCAACUCGUUAAAAUCUCCCGUAUGGUGACAGCAUGCCCUCUCUCUACCCCACAAGAGCCUUUUUAGCAGCACAAAAAUUUAAUCCUUCAGAGGAACCACAAAUUCUGAGAGCUUCAAUGAAUCCGAGGAAAUCCUAAAAACUACAUCUUCAGCGAAGUUGUUACAACUGUGAAAUAGGCAGGGGCCGCGCGAACGCAGGCCCCCUCUACCACAAAUUAUGACGUAGGCUCGACCACUUGGGCCGACCUUAGGCGGACGCCCCUCCUCAGUGCAAUGGAGGUCGUCAACCUAGGCCAUGGACCUUCUGGAUCGCCCAUCGACCCCGUCCAGUAGAACGGACCCUUUUGAAUUCGUCCAUGCUUAUAUCGUCAAAUUGUUUAUAUGCGGAGGUAAAGCGCCACCAACCAGUAGAGAUGAAAGCCACAGAUCACCGCAGAGUUGCUGUGCCGAGUCGAGUCAGAGGAGGUUCGAUUUCAAAAUUCGUUGCUUUGCUGUAUUUUCAAGGGCAAACAUGAAGACAGAUACAUUCCAGUAUAGUUAUAUUUUGUUGGGAACUUGUCAAAACAGACUUUGCCCACAGAUUAUUCUGCCACGGGAGAGGUGGUCAUGUGCCUUGGCUGCCAAAGUUUGUCCCUAAGAUUGGCCUUGAAAUUGUUAUGAAUGGAUUUUUAAGCUUCUCAAGGGCAAAUGCUACAGAACAUGGAAAUGAUCCUACGCAAGCUGGCUCUUUUGUUGAGUAUCUGUAUGAUUUGAGAGAGCAAGGCAAACAUGAAACAUCAAUGGCUUCUGGUUUUCGCUGUCACGGAUUAGUGCAGUUAUUUGGCAGUAGAAUGGGCUCUCCAGCAGAGACUGCCCUUUGCCAUGCAUUGCUAUCUCACUCCAAUCUCAGCCAUCAAUGCAUGCAAACAUGCUAAUAAAUCAUGGGGCUUGAUAUCACAGAUCUUCUUAUGGUUGUUAAAGAUGGGCUUUUCAUUCUUUUAUGUAUUGAAGUAACGACUUCAUCUGUUUUUGACUUGGAUCCAAUCCCUAUUUGUAGUGUACAACAUAUUAACAUGGAAAUUGCAUUUUUUAUCUGUAAACUUACUUGUUGGUAUGGAUGUGCUUGAAUAGGAGAAGAGUAGGGAUAUGUAUGAGACUUUGCAAGGUGGUUUAUGGGAAGCGUCUUGAUGAAUUAUGGUUAAGUAAAGCAAAGAACUCAUUUUGGAUGGCAAUGAGAAAUUCUCAGCAGAAACUAGAGAAAAAUACAGCAUUGAUUUCCUGAGGUUUCAAUCAGAGAUAUAGGAGAGUUUAUCCACUCUUACAGAAAAUCUCGUCAAGCAGUUUGCUGGGUAUCUUAUGGCGAUUUGGUUUAUGGCAGACAAGUUGCAAUUUAUCUAAUGCCUGACUUGCAGCUUGGAAUGCAUUAUCUAAUGCCUGUGUUCUUCAACUUUUGCCACCUUUAGCAAAUUGUUUUGCCAACUAUGAAGGGUACCUUGAACCUGUUCAGUAAUUUUUCAGGACACCGGAAGGAUGUCGGAGACUUAUGUUAAGUCAUGGUUUUCUGGUGCUCUUGACAGAGCUGCAGCUCAAAGAUCAGCGAUGUUUAUGCUGGCAUGUGUACCAUCUGUUGUAUUUAUGUGAAGCGUCAAACGGCACCGUUUAUGGAAGGGGGCAGGAGAGUCUCUGGGCAACCCUCAAGGCUGCCCAAAAUGGCAGCAUUUUGGGCCCUUGAGCGGAUGGCCAAAACGGAAACCCCAUUUCACUCGGCGUGCUUCAUUUUGUCUUUUAGCCUGCCUCUUCCCCGAUCGUCGAUGCUACUUGUUGUGCCUUUAUACGAUGCAAUCUGCACCGCUGGUGUCCUCUUUAUAUCAUCUACAGUCGUCUCGAGAUGUGCAGCGCACAACCUCCGUUUAUCUGCUUCAUUUAGGAUUUGUUCGAUCAUUCUCUGAUUUUCAUUCUUUCUAUAUAGUUGAUACGCAUAUUUUUCUCUCUAGGGUGUAAGCCUCUAAUUUGUAGCUUGUGGUUAUGGGGCUGAUUUAACUUGAGGGUCGAUUUGUAUAGUGAGAUUAGAGAGUGAUUUUUGUGUAAACUAAGGCUAUAAUCAGAUUUUCUUCCGAUAGUGCAGUGAGCUCUCUUUGCCGGAGCUCAACGUGGACGUAGCCCUCUUUAAUGGGUGAACCACAGUAAAAUCACUUAUGUUCUUUGUUUUGUUCUGCUUUACUUUUCUGUGUAUGAGUUUGGUUGUUUCUAUCAAAUGAUUUGUGUAUGAAAUUGGUCUGUUUAUUUCUAAAGGGUUGAGCUUAGUCUCUUCCCAACACCAUCCAUCUCACAUAUUUCUUUUUUCACAAUUCCCCCGGUUAAAGUUUAUUAUCCUUCCCUAAGGAGCUUGCCAAGUUUCUCCCGCAAACAGCAACAUGAGGUUUGGCUAUUACUUGAGAUUUGAGAACCAUUGAACUUUAUUAAAAAUUGUGUGCUUUUAUGAAUUUGAAUGACAGGAAAGAUGAAGAAACAGGUGUCUCCCUGCUCAGUUGAGCAUACAGAGAGUCAAUCUAAUAUGGUUCAUGCAUCGGAGGGUGUUCACUCCCACAUCAAGCAAUUUGGGAACGGCCACGCCAAAGGAGCUGCUUUAAAGUGAAGCUAAAGAGAGAUGGUAAGGCAUGCAGCCGCAGGGUGAGCACAGAGCGAACUAUUCUUUAGCCUUUUACCAAAGAACACCGUGUGCUCGCUGCAGAUAGCGGCAUACGCCUAUUUUUGGAGGGGCUUUCCCUUUCUGGGUGAGCUCCCAACAAUGCCAGUUUCAAUUUAUAAUCUGCCAGUUAAUGCACAGUUAUGCUUUGCGUUUGCUUGUGGUUACUCAUAUCUUGCGUUUCCGCCUAUAGAAAAAUAAGAGUUGAAAGUAGAGAAGCUAUUUGCU